Molecule: transfer RNA, 74 nt
Filed under: Nocardia speluncae
Lineage: Bacteria; Bacillati; Actinomycetota; Actinomycetes; Mycobacteriales; Nocardiaceae
Rfam family: tRNA
About the family: Transfer RNA (tRNA) molecules are approximately 80 nucleotides in length. Their secondary structure includes four short double-helical elements and three loops (D, anti-codon, and T loops). Further hydrogen bonds mediate the characteristic L-shaped molecular structure. tRNAs have two regions of fundamental functional importance: the anti-codon, which is responsible for specific mRNA codon recognition, and the 3' end, to which the tRNAs corresponding amino acid is attached (by aminoacyl-tRNA synthetases). tRNAs cope with the degeneracy of the genetic code in two manners: having more than one tRNA (with a specific anti-codon) for a particular amino acid; and 'wobble' base-pairing, i.e. permitting non-standard base-pairing at the 3rd anti-codon position.
Source: Rfam by way of RNAcentral
GCCCUUCUACCCCAAAUGGCAGAGGGACCGGAUUCAAAAUCCGGUAGUUGCGCGUUCGAAUCGCGCGAAGGGCA